UACACUCCUGCGGGAGGCAGCAGUGGGGAAUAUUGGACAAUGGGCGCAAGCCUGAUCCAGCCAUGCCGCGUGAGUGAUGAAGGCCCUAGGGUUGUAAAGCUCUUUCACCGGUGAAGAUAAUAACGGUAACCGGAGAAGAAGCCCCGGCUAACUUCGUGCCAGCAGCCGCGGUAAUACGAAGGGGGCUAGCGUUGUUCGGAUUUACUGGGCGUAAAGCGCACGUAGGCGGACUAUUAAGUCAGGGGUGAAAUCCCGGGGCUCAACCCCGGAACUGCCUUUGAUACUGGUAGUCUUGAGUUCGAGAGAGGUGAGUGGAAUUCCGAGUGUAGAGGUGAAAUUCGUAGAUAUUCGGAGGAACACCAGUGGCGAAGGCGGCUCACUGGCUCGAUACUGACGCUGAGGUGCGAAAGCGUGGGGAGCAAACAGGAUUAGAUACCCGGGUAGUCCCA
This 449-nucleotide ribosomal RNA is filed under the name uncultured organism. RNAcentral's name for it is "partial 16S ribosomal RNA". It matches the Rfam family "Bacterial small subunit ribosomal RNA", at positions 332 to 797 of the family's 1533-position model. The record is from RNAcentral.